GAAAGAUCUUUCCAAAUGAUACCAGGAUGCUGAUAUCCAGAGAUUCCUGGAGGAGGCCACCAUCUUGGACCCCCGAUUUAAAUCCAAAGUGAAUAAGGAUGAAGUCUGGGACAGGAUCAGGGAAGCAGCAAACACAGAGGCAGGACCAGAUGAGCACCUGGAGCAAGGAGACACACAGGGAAAGUUGUUCAAAGAUGAAGAUGAGGAUGAAAAAGACUAUGCAAGUUUAGUUCAUCGUGAAGAUAAUUUAGAUGUCAUGGAUUGUUCAUUUUCUGCUUAACAUUUUUAUUAUGUCCAUUUAAUUUCAGUAAAGCAGAAAAAACAACUGCCUUGGAGGAACUCUUUGAAGAGGAGGACAACGGGCUGCAGUCAUUCCAUCAACGGCAGCCCGUUCUUUCCCUGGCCCAGAGAGUGGAUCAGGAGAUCCAGCUGUAUAGAAGCC
Molecule: long non-coding RNA, 442 nt
Organism: Oreochromis niloticus (Nile tilapia)
Lineage: Eukaryota; Metazoa; Chordata; Actinopteri; Cichliformes; Cichlidae
Exons: 3
Source: RefSeq, a predicted model, not a curated record